This is a long non-coding RNA of Antechinus flavipes (yellow-footed antechinus), 554 nucleotides long. RefSeq lists it as uncharacterized. The transcript has 3 exons. NCBI's taxonomy places the organism in Eukaryota, Metazoa, Chordata, Mammalia, Dasyuromorphia, Dasyuridae. The record is from RefSeq and is a predicted model, not a curated record.
AGAAGAGACACCCUGUAUUUUCUUCUUUAAGAAUCACUCUCCAAACCCUGUGUUUUUUGCAGGAUAGAGGCAGAUUUGGGUUCAAGUUGGAAGCAAGACCUAAGAGUACAAAAACUGAAAUAAGAUUGACUGGUUCUUUAAAAAUAAUGAAAAGGCUUCAAGAACAUGGAAGAAGCAAAUAUUAGAAUGACUCAGUCAAUAAAAAUGCAUAAAGUGCCUGCUUUGUGCCAGGGACUGUGAUGGAGUUAAGAUCAAAAUGGUCCUGUCAUCAUCCUGGCAACAUUCUGAAGACUUUGGGGUAGAUGAGCCACGUAUUGGUAUUUUGAGUGCUUUACAGAUAACAUUUUCAUCUGGAUCAAACUGAGAAAAACGGCCUCUGGAGAAAUGAGUAAUGAAUGAAGAAAAAUAAAAAAGAAAGGGCAUAUCACUAAGUAUGGCGUUGCCUAAGCUCACUCCUGUAAAUAUCACACAUUAUUGAUGACUAAUAAUGAAUACAAAGAUUGGGAAAUACAUUGUAAAUAUCAGCUACUGCAAUGGGAAUAAAUGGCAAAGGG